This 69-nucleotide transfer RNA is filed under the name marine eukaryotic metagenome. It matches the Rfam family "tRNA". Rfam says of the family: Transfer RNA (tRNA) molecules are approximately 80 nucleotides in length. Their secondary structure includes four short double-helical elements and three loops (D, anti-codon, and T loops). The record is from RNAcentral.
UGUGGUAGUUCAGUUGGUUAGAAUAUCGGCCUGUCACGCCGGGGGUCGCGGGUUCGAGUCCCGUCCACA